Molecule: long non-coding RNA, 199 nt
Organism: Urocitellus parryii (Arctic ground squirrel)
Lineage: Eukaryota; Metazoa; Chordata; Mammalia; Rodentia; Sciuridae
Source: RefSeq, a predicted model, not a curated record
UUUGCAGCAUGGAGUCCUCUGAUAGUGCUUCAGUCACUGCACUGACAAUUCCACGGGACACUAUUUAGAGCCAUUGUUGACAUCCAUGUCUUCAUCAUCCUGGAAGCCACUCUUUGAAUCCUCAUAAUGUGCAGUGUGUCUCUUCAUUUUGCCCUGGCCUGCUGCUUCUGAGGAGUGCAUGAGUAAUAAAAUGUGCAAG